UCAUUACCGAGUUUACAACUCCCAAACCCAUGUGAACAUACCUACUGUUGCUUCGGCGGGAUUGCCCCGGGCGCCUCGUGUGCCCCGGAUCAGGCGCCCGCCUAGGAAACUUAAUUCUUGUUUUAUUUUGGAAUCUUCUGAGUAGUUUUUACAAAUAAAUAAAAACUUUCAACAACGGAUCUCUUGGUUCUGGCAUCGAUGAAGAACGCAGCGAAAUGCGAUAAGUAAUGUGAAUUGCAGAAUUCAGUGAAUCAUCGAAUCUUUGAACGCACAUUGCGCCCGCCAGUAUUCUGGCGGGCAUGCCUGUCUGAGCGUCAUUUCAACCCUCAUGCCCCUAGGGCGUGGUGUUGGGGAUCGGCCAAAGCCCGCGAGGGACGGCCGGCCCCUAAAUCUAGUGGCGGACCCGUCGUGGCCUCCUCUGCGAAGUAGUGAUAUUCCGCAUCGGAGAGCGACGAGCCCCUGCCGUUAAACCCCCAACUUUCCAAGGUUGACCUCAGAUCAGGUAGGAAUACCCGCUGAACUUAAGCAUAUCAA
This 534-nucleotide ribosomal RNA is filed under the name Hypocreales sp. bc_gw_9967e. RNAcentral describes it as "eukaryotic LSU rRNA". The stretch from base 164 to 317 matches the Rfam family "5.8S ribosomal RNA". Lineage: Eukaryota; Fungi; Ascomycota; Sordariomycetes; Hypocreales. The record is from RNAcentral.